GCAUGUGAACUUCGCUGUGAAGCAGGAUUUGUCGAUGGGGAACGAGGUGAUUGGGAUUGUGAAGUCGGAUUUUGGGGGUGAUUAAUCAUUUUGUGGUUGCUGUGGUUCUUUCCAUUGCGAGGGUUAGGAAGUCUAGUAGCUCAGGCUCGAGUCAGGUACUUAAAUUAAAGCUUUGGACGUAUUUUUAAAGGAUUGUUAUUAUUAUUAUGAAAUUUUAUAUGGGAAACUAUUUUUUGAUUUUGUGAAGAAGCUCAUGUGAAUUUUCGAAUCAGGGGCUUGGAUUUGUGCCUGUGGCUUGGUUAGUGACAUGAUUCUCGUCAAUUUAAGUGUAUGACAUUGUCUUCUUUUGUAGAAUUGUAAGUUUUGUGUUAUUAUAAUUUUAGGGGCAAAUAUGUGCAUAAUGUAGCUAGGGGGUCAAUUAGAAAUAUGUGUGCAUAUGUUGGUUCUAUUUUUAUAUAUUUGGUUUAUUUAUUGUCCUUUCUCUAUAUAUAUGUGUGCAUAUGUUGGUGUCUUUCAAUGAGGAGGACGAAAUAAUCAGUCUUUUAAUUUUGCAAAACUAAAGGCGGUUCAAGUUUAAAUCAGUAAAUCAAUAAUAGACUUGGAGUUUGUUCUUGGCAAAUUAUUGUGCAAAGUUCAAGGAGCUUGGUGAACUUAAGCGUGAACUGAAGGCGGGCAUGGUUCGUGAAAAGAAAUGCCUCGUCAUUGAUCCGAAGCUCGCGGGUUCGUUCUCACUAUUGAUUCAGACCUAACUCCUCAAGGUUCUUAGAAAUAAGCCAGAUUAUCAUCGGAUAUCACAAGCAGGGGAUGAGAGGAUAGAACAAUGUAAAAAGAUUGUAAAUAUAUAUCCUUUCGUUUCAAUUGUAAAUAAAUAUGUUAACAAUUUAUGUAUCGCAUCCAUUCAAUACCGAGCUUUGGCUGAUAAUUUAUGUAUCUGUAAAAGUUUGUAAACAAUUUAUGUAUGAAUGUAUUAUUUGAAUAUAAUGGGAUUUGAUAUUGCAAUA
Molecule: long non-coding RNA, 1001 nt
Organism: Asparagus officinalis (garden asparagus)
Lineage: Eukaryota; Viridiplantae; Streptophyta; Magnoliopsida; Asparagales; Asparagaceae
Exons: 3
Source: RefSeq, a predicted model, not a curated record